GGGGCGGUAGUUCAGUCUGGUUAGAAUACCGGCCUGUCACGCCGGGGGUCGCGGGUUCGAGUCCCGUCCGCCCCGCCA
Molecule: transfer RNA, 78 nt
Filed under: Gammaproteobacteria bacterium
Lineage: Bacteria; Pseudomonadati; Pseudomonadota; Gammaproteobacteria
Also listed under: 1 other name
Description: tRNA-Asp
Rfam family: tRNA
About the family: Transfer RNA (tRNA) molecules are approximately 80 nucleotides in length.
Source: RNAcentral